CCUACGGGAGGCUGCAGUCGAGAAUCAUUGACAAUGGCGGGAACGCUGAUGGUGCGACGCCGCGUGGGGGAAUGAAGGUCUUCGGAUUGUAAACCCCUGUCAUGUGGGAGCAAAUUAAGACGCUAGUACCACACGAGGAAGAGAUGGCUAACUCUGUGCCAGCAGCCGCGGUAAUACAGAGGUCUAAAGCGUUGUUCGGAAUCACUGGGCGUAAAGCGUGCGUAGGCUGUGUCGUAAGUCGUGUGUGAAAGGCCCGGGCUCAACCCGCGGGGGGCAGAUGAGACUGCGAGACUAGAGAAAUGGAGGGGUAAGCGGAAUGCGCGGUGUAGCAGUGAAAUGCGUAGAUAUCGAGAGGAACACUCGUGGCGAAGGCGGGUUCCUGGACAUUAACUGACGCUGAGGCACGAAGGCCAGGGGAGCGAAAGGGAUUAGAUACCCUUGUAGUC
RNAcentral lists this ribosomal RNA (446 nucleotides) under uncultured bacterium. RNAcentral describes it as "partial 16S ribosomal RNA". It matches the Rfam family "Bacterial small subunit ribosomal RNA", at positions 338 to 795 of the family's 1533-position model. The record is from RNAcentral.